AUUUAAAUUUUAAAUUUUAUUGGGAGAUUAUUUUAUUUAUAUUAUUAAAAUUAAUUUUUAGGUUUUUUAAAAUUUAUUAAUUAAAAAUUUAAUUAAUUGAUAUUUUUAAGUAUUGAAAAAGAUUAAGAAUAAAUUUUAAAUUUAUAAUUUUAUUGAAUUGUACCUUUUGUAUCAGGGUUUUACAAAAUUGAUUAAUUUAUAUUUUAUUUUCUCGAAAUAAAUUGAAUUAAAUAAUUAUAAAAAUUAUUAUGUAAGUAAUAUUUUUAAUAUUUAUUUUGUAAUUAUAUGUUAUUCGAAAUUUAUAUAUCUAGUUUUUUAAUAAAUAAAUUUAAUUUAAAUAAAAUUAUUUUUAAAUAAUAUAUUUUUAUUAUUUAAAAUUAAUUUUAUUAAUAAUUUUAGGGUUAAGCUUAAAGUUAAAUUUUUAAUAAUUAAUUUUGGAUUUUAUUUAAAUAAAAUUAAUAAUUUUUAUUUUUUGUAAUUUGUAAUAAUUAAAAUAUUUAUAAUUGAAUUAUUUUGAAAUUAAAAUUUAUUUUAAAUUUUUAUUAAAAAAUAUUAUUUAAUUAAUUUUUAAUAUUUAUAAUGUAAAAAUUAGUAAUUGAUAAAUUAAUUUAGUUAAAUUUUUUUUUAGGUUAGUUUAAUUAAUUCGGCAAAAAAUAUCUAUUCAUCUGUUUAUUAAAAACAUUGCUUAAUGAUAAUAAUGUUAGGUAAUUUCUGCUCAAUGAAUUAAAAUUUAAAUAGCUGCAGUAUUUUGACUGUACAAAGGUAGCAUAAUCAUUUGGUUUUUUAUUUGAAUCUGGAAUGAAUGGGAAAAUGAAAUAGAAGCUUUUAAAAAUUAAUGUGAUAAAUUUUAUAUUUAAGUAAAAAAUCUUAAAUUUUAUUUAAAGACGAGAAGACCCUAUAGAAUUUUAUAAUUUUUUAUAUUUUAUUUUUUAUAAAAUAAAUAGUUAUUAGGUUGGGGAAAUUUAAAAAUUUGUUUAAUUUUUUAUUUUGAUUUUCAUUAAUUAAUGUAUAAUAGAUUUAAUUUUAUUAAAUUUAAAUUAAAUUACCUUAGGGAUAACAGCGUAAUUAUUUUUGAAAGAUCUUAUUGAUAAAAUAGAUUGCGACCUCGAUGUUGAAUUAAGAUAAAUUAUUAAUGUAGAAGUUAAAAAAUUUAGUCUGUUCGACUAUUAAAAUCUUACAUGAUUUGAGUUUAGAUCGGUGUGAGCCAGAUCGGAUUCUAUCUUAAAUUAAUUAUUUAUAAUUUUUGUACGAAAGGACUUAAUUAUAAUAAAAUUUAUUAUAUUUUGAAUAAAAUUAAAUUUAA
Molecule: ribosomal RNA, 1303 nt
Filed under: Encyrtus sasakii
Lineage: Eukaryota; Metazoa; Arthropoda; Insecta; Hymenoptera; Encyrtidae
Description: 16S ribosomal RNA
Source: RNAcentral